UCGAACAUCUGCUGGCAUUUGGGGACCUGAGAAACACGGUGUGGCACCCAGAGACCCUUAGAAUGCGCCAUCCUUCUUGCCAUUUCUGAGGACCACUCUCCAGCUAAAAGAACCCUGAAGAGCGGAGGACAUUCCUUCUUCCAGACAGUGGCACAGUUAGCGGGAUAACUCGAUCACAUUCUCCCUGGGUGCCGCUGCAGCAGAGACAUCCCUGGGAAAUCUGACAUGCAGCCAGCAAGGGAACACAACUGGAAAAUUGGUUCUAUUAUCAAGGCUUCGACUAAUCUGCAUAGAUUGAUUCAGAUAUGACCAGACAGCUUUAAGGAACUGGAGCCUAUAAAGCCUUUCUGGAAAUAUCCUGAUUAUACCUUGCUUACCGAGUACCCAGCAGCUUU
Molecule: long non-coding RNA, 395 nt
Organism: Suricata suricatta (meerkat)
Lineage: Eukaryota; Metazoa; Chordata; Mammalia; Carnivora; Herpestidae
Exons: 3
Source: RefSeq, a predicted model, not a curated record